Molecule: ribosomal RNA, 482 nt
Filed under: uncultured bacterium
Lineage: Bacteria
Description: partial 16S ribosomal RNA
Rfam family: Bacterial small subunit ribosomal RNA
Source: RNAcentral
AUUGAACGCUGGCGGCAUGCCUUACACAUGCAAGUCGAACGGUAACAGGUCUUCGGAUGCUGACGAGUGGCGAACGGGUGAGUAAUACAUCGGAACGUGCCCAGACGUGGGGGAUAACGAGGCGAAAGCUUUGCUAAUACCGCAUACGAUCUAAGGAUGAAAGCAGGGGACCGCAAGGCCUUGUGCGUUUGGAGCGGCCGAUGGCAGAUUAGGUAGGUGGUGGGAUAAAAGCUUACCAAGCGGACGAUCUGUAGCUGGUCUGAGAGGACGACAAGCCACACUGGGACUGAGACACGGCCCAGACUCCUCCGGGCGGCAGCAGUGGGGAAUUUUGGACAAUGGGCGAAAGCCUGAUCCAGCAAUGCCGCGUGCAGGAUGAAGGCCUUCGGGUUGUAAACUGCUUUUGUACGGAACGAAAAGGCUCUGGCUAAUACCUGGGGCACAUGACGGUACCGUAAGAAUAAGCACCGGCUAACUACGUG